CCUACGGGAGGCAGCAGUAGGGAAUCUUCCACAAUGGGCGAAAGCCUGAUGGAGCAACGCCGCGUGGGUGAAGAAGGUCUUCGGAACGUAAAACCCUGUUGUUAGAGAAGAAAGUGCGUGAGAGUAACUGUUCACGUUUCGACGGUAUCUAACCAGAAAGCCACGGCUAACUAGGUGCCAGCAGCCGCGGUAAUACGUAGGUGGCAAGAGUUAUCCGGAUUUAUGGGGCGUAAAGGGAACGCAGGCGGUCUUUUAAGUCUGAUGUGAAAGCCUUCGGCUUAACCGGAGUAGUGCAUUGGAAACUGGGAGACUUUAGUGCAGAAGAGGAGAGUGGAACUCCAUGUGUAGCGGUGACAUGCGUAGAUAUAUGGAAGAACACCAGUGGCGAAAGCGGCUCUCUGGUCUGUAACUGACGCUGAGGUUCGAAAGCGUGGGUAGCAAACAGGAUUAGAUACCCCUGUAGUC
RNAcentral lists this ribosomal RNA (465 nucleotides) under uncultured bacterium. RNAcentral describes it as "partial 16S ribosomal RNA". It matches the Rfam family "Bacterial small subunit ribosomal RNA", at positions 338 to 795 of the family's 1533-position model. The record is from RNAcentral.